AGCAGCCCAGAGUCUGAAUCAGCUUGUGUGUUAGUGGAACGGUCUGGAAAGUCCGACGGUACAGGGUGAUAGUCCCGUACACCAAAAUGCACAGGUUGUGAACUCGAAGAGUAGGGCGGGACACGUGGUAUCCUGUCUGAAUAUGGGGGGACCAUCCUCCAAGGCUAAAUACUCCUGACUGACCGAUAGUGAACCAGUACCGUGAGGGAAAGGCGAAAAGAACCCCGGCGAGGGGAGUGAAAAAGAACCUGAAACCGUGUACGUACAAGCAGUGGGAGCACCUUCGGGUGUGACUGCGUACCUUUUGUAUAAUGGGUCAGCGACUUAUAUUCUGUAGCAAGGUUAACCGUAUAGGGGAGCCGCAGGGAAACCGAGUCUUAACUGGGCGUUAAGUUGCAGGGUAUAGACCCGAAACCCGGUGAUCUAGCCAUGGGCAGGUUGAAGGUUGGGUAACACUAACUGGAGGACCGAACCGACUAAUGUUGAAAAAUUAGCGGAUGACUUGUGGCUGGGGGUGAAAGGCCAAUCAAACCGGGAGAUAGCUGGUUCUCCCCGAAAGCUAUUUAGGUAGCGCCUCGUGAACUCAUCUUCGGGGGUAGAGCACUGUUUCGGCUAGGGGGUCAUCCCGACUUACCAACCCGAUGCAAACUACGAAUACCGAAGAAUGUUAUCACGGGAGACACACGGCGGGUGCUAACGUCCGUCGUGAAGAGGGAAACAACCCAGACCGCCAGCUAAGGUCCCAAAGUCAUGGUUAAGUGGGAAACGAUGUGGGAAGGCACAGACAGCCAGGAUGUUGGCUUAGAAGCAGCCAUCAUUUAAAGAAAGCGUAAUAGCUCACUGGUCGAGUCGGCCUGCGCGGAAGAUGUAACGGGGCUAAACCAUGCACCGAAGCUGCGGCAGCGACACUAUGUGUUGUUGGGUAGGGGAGCGUUCUGUAAGCCUGCGAAGGUGACCUGUGAGGGUUGCUGGAGGUAUCAGAAGUGCGAAUGCUGACAUAAGUAACGAUAAAGCGGGUGAAAAGCCCGCUCGCCGGAAGACCAAGGGUUCCUGUCCAACGUUAAUCGGGGCAGGGUGAGUCGACCCCUAAGGCGAGGCCGAAAGGCGUAGUCGAUGGGAAACAGGUUAAUAUUCCUGUACUUGGUGUUACUGCGAAGGGGGGACGGAGAAGGCUAUGUUAGCCGGGCGACGGUUGUCCCGGUUUAAGCAUGUAGGC
This 1216-nucleotide ribosomal RNA is filed under the name Klebsiella pneumoniae. Its description in RNAcentral is "partial 23S ribosomal RNA". It matches the Rfam family "Bacterial large subunit ribosomal RNA", at positions 296 to 1525 of the family's 2925-position model. Lineage: Bacteria; Pseudomonadati; Pseudomonadota; Gammaproteobacteria; Enterobacterales; Enterobacteriaceae. The record is from RNAcentral.